This 468-nucleotide ribosomal RNA is filed under the name uncultured bacterium. RNAcentral describes it as "partial 16S ribosomal RNA". It matches the Rfam family "Bacterial small subunit ribosomal RNA", at positions 28 to 507 of the family's 1533-position model. The record is from RNAcentral.
GACGAACGCUGGCGGCGUGCUUAACACAUGCAAGUCGAACGGAAAGGCCCUGCUUUUGUGGGGUGCUCGAGUGGCGAACGGGUGAGUAACACGUGAGUAACCUGCCCUUGACUUUGGGAUAACUUCAGGAAACUGGGGCUAAUACCGGAUAGGAGCUCCUGCUGCAUGGUGGGGGUUGGAAAGUUUCGGCGGUUGGGGAUGGACGCGCGGCUUAUCAGCUUGUUGGGGGGGUAGUGGCUUACAAAGGCUUUGACGGGUAGCCGGCCUGAGAGGGUGACCGGCCACAUUGGGACUGAGAUACGGCCCAGAGUCCUACGGGAGGCAGCAGUGGGGAAUAUUGCACAAUGGGCGGAAGCCUGAUGAAGCAACGCCGCGUGCGGGAUGACGGCCUUCGGGUUGUAAACCGCUUUCGCCUGUGACGAAGCGUGAGUGACGGUAAUGGGUAAAGAAGCACCGGCUAACUACGUG